AUUGAACGCUGGCGGCAUGCCUUACACAUGCAAGUCGAACGGUAACAGGUCUUCGGAUGCUGACGAGUGGCGAACGGGUGAGUAAUACAUCGGAACGUGCCCAGACGUGGGGGAUAACGAGGCGAAAGCUUUGCUAAUACCGCAUACGAACUAAGGAUGAAAGCAGGGGACCGCAAGGCCUUGCGCGUUUGGAGCGGCCGAUGGCAGAUUAGGUAGUUGGUGGGAUAAAAGCUUACCAAGCCGACGAUCUGUAGCUGGUCUGAGAGGACGACCAGCCACACUGGCACUGAGACACGGCCCAGACUCCUACGGGAGGCAGCAGUGGGGAAUUUUGGGCAAUGGGCGAAAGCCUGAUCCAGCAAUGCCGCGUGCAGGAUGAAGGCCUUCGGGUUGUAAACUGCUUUUGUACGGAACGAAAAGGCUCUGGCUAAUACCUGGGGCACAUGACGGUACCGUAAGAAUAAGCACCGGCUAACUACGUG
This 482-nucleotide ribosomal RNA is filed under the name uncultured bacterium. RNAcentral's name for it is "partial 16S ribosomal RNA". It matches the Rfam family "Bacterial small subunit ribosomal RNA", at positions 30 to 507 of the family's 1533-position model. The record is from RNAcentral.